UACGGAGGGUGCAAGCGUUGUUCGGAAUUAUUGGGCGUAAAGGGCGUGCAGGCGGUCAGGUAAGUCAGAUGUGAAAGCCCUGGGCUCAACCCAGGAAGUGCAUUUGAAACUACUUGACUUGAGUACGGGAGAGGACGGGGGAAUUCCCGGUGUAGAGGUGAAAUUCGUAGAUAUCGGGAGGAAUACCAGUGGCGAAGGCGCCCGUCUGGACCGAUACUGACGCUGAGACGCGAAAGCGUGGGGAGCAAAC
RNAcentral lists this ribosomal RNA (250 nucleotides) under uncultured bacterium. RNAcentral's name for it is "partial 16S ribosomal RNA". It matches the Rfam family "Bacterial small subunit ribosomal RNA", at positions 524 to 773 of the family's 1533-position model. The record is from RNAcentral.